UAAUGUUUUGUAUUAUAUAUUGUAUUGUACAUGUCUUAUCGGUAGUUAGGAAGGGAAGGUUUAGAAACGGAAAUUGACUUCACGUUUCAGGCCUCAACCAAUUUUGACUCUCAACAUAACCGUCCGUGCUUUUUAUUGCUCCAUGGUGCAUGUAUCGACCAUUUGCGCGGUCUCACGUACAGGGAUUUGAUCGGGACGAUAUUUUCGACGGGCCCGUGUGUUCAGGACCUCUUGGGACUUCCCGGACCCGAAAUUACACCAAAUGAGUUCUGAAUGGAUUUUGCUUGAUCAGAGGAUUCCAAAGGUGUCCUUUGUACUACUGCUGGAGUGAAAGCUACAGAUAAAUCUGGUCUCCAUGUUAGUUCCAAGCAUUGGAAUUCAACGUAACUAUAGUUACAUGUAGAUGUCAGAGGCACGGAUACCAACAAUAAAGGAAGCUCCUUUAGAACAAAGCAAGGGAAUUAACAGCACAGACAUGAGGCCUGUCUUCACACAUUUUGAUGUCCCCGGUACAAUUGAAGAGCAGUUGAAGCAGGAGUGAUCCUGAGAAGGAUAAGAACAGCUUCGUCAAUCUAUUCGUAGCAAGACUGCAACCUACAGGAAGCACCCCUGAUGCUGCUGCUGAAGUAAAGGCCACAUGUUUGCAAUUCAACGUCACUGCUGUUACAUGUAAAUCAGAUGCACGGCUAUAAACGCUAAAGGAAGCUUCAGUACAACCAAGCAAGGAAAUUGACAGAUGACACCGAAGAAUGUUUACCAGCACAUACACAAAGGAAGUCUUUCAACAUGUAGGUGUUGUCGAUGGAAAUGCAAUUUGUACCAAGACUGUUCUACAUAAGGACUUCAUCAAAAUAACAUGAUCGUCUACAAAAACUGCAACCACUAGGACAUGAGAUAGGUACAUGUGUACAUGUCCCCGGCAUAUUUUGUUCAAGAUUUCUGCAGAAAAUGUGAACACAGGUUUUGGAGUAUUAUGCAAAGUUUCAAUGGUCACAAGUUGCUGAUAUCUUAAAACUGCUCCCAUGUUUCUUAAGUAUAUAGUGCAUAAAAAAGUCUACUGGUAUUUAUAUAAUGUACACUAGUGAAAUGCCCUAAUGCAGUUUUUCUCUUUUCUUUUAUAAAUAUUGAGGACACUUUAACAUUCUUUAACAUAACUUUAACAAGACCGCUUUCAGUGUUCAAUAUUUUGAGUAUGCAUGGUAUUUCUUAACAUACGCUUAAAUUCCACAAUCUGAGUAUGUGCUGCUGUCCACUCGCAAAUACAGUUGUUUAAGUAAUCAUUUGUCCAGUUACUGUCAUUAGGAAAUAAGACGUACUUUUGAAAGAAUUGUGUGAAAUUGCUGUUUGCAUUAUUUUUCUUCCGUCUUUGAAAUCGACGUCUCUUAGUCUGUGUAUACCAAUGGCCCUGAUAGUCCCAUGUCCUGUGGUGUUGAGAUGAUUUUACAGCGUCACGGUUAUAAAGCCGUACACCCUAUUGCAGAGAAUCCUCCCGGCAAUCAAACCCCUUACGAGAAAACUAAAGUGCGCCCUCACUUGAUGCUAUUCCACGUUUUGUAUUACCUGGCUGAUAAUUUUCCUACGUUCGAUCAUAUUUUCGCCAGGGAUGAGGCAAGAAAGUAUGCAGUGAAUUGAAUUUAGCAUUAGCAUUUGAAAUAACUAUUCAUUGUUCGUUGCCCAUUUUUCUUUAAAGCAGGCGAGGGAAAUAUUGUGUUUGUCUGUGAGAUCCCUAACAACGUCAUCUUAUUCUAAACAGAUAUUGAAAGGAUGUUGAUUUUUGGUCUUGCGUACAAAUGAAACAACUGAAAGUACUAGGUUUGUGAAGUCUGUUGUCAUUAGCCCUAUACACGUAUCUCUUGAACAACAAAUGCACAUAUUCCAUCGGAAU
RNAcentral lists this unclassified non-coding RNA (1885 nucleotides) under Acanthaster planci (crown-of-thorns starfish). RNAcentral's name for it is "d(2) dopamine receptor-like, transcript variant X1". The record is from RNAcentral. Lineage: Eukaryota; Metazoa; Echinodermata; Asteroidea; Valvatida; Acanthasteridae.